GUAUUCACUGAUGAUGAUUUGAUUUUAUACAUUCUGGGAGGCCUUGGACCUGAAUAUGACUCUGUUGUCAUUAAUCUCACUUCCAGGGGUGAUAGAAUUACCAUCUCUGAGGUUCAGUUUCUCCUUCAGAGUCAAGAGA
Humulus lupulus (European hop) is the source of this 139-nucleotide small nucleolar RNA. RefSeq annotates it as small nucleolar RNA Z247. The transcript has a single exon. Lineage: Eukaryota; Viridiplantae; Streptophyta; Magnoliopsida; Rosales; Cannabaceae. The record is from RefSeq and is a predicted model, not a curated record.